GUGGCCUGACCCACGAGAUGGUUAGCUAACCAAACAGUCAAAUAAGAAGAAGCCCACCCACGAGAUUGGACCGGGCUUCAUUUUCGCGUGAAGUUGCGGAGUCAUUCUCAUGAAUCCGGUCACCAUAGAUAACUAGAAGGUCAGCUGAUGAAACGGCCCAAGAAGAAGAAGCUCACAUACGAGAUUGGACCGGGCUCUAAUUUGCACGUGUAGUUGGGAGCCACUUUCAUGAAUCCGGUCACCGCAGAUACUAGAAGGUCAGCUGAUGAAACGGCCCAAGAACAAGAAGCCCACCCACGAGAUUGGACCGGGCUUAAUUUGCUCAUGUAGUUGCGGAGGCACUUUCAUGAAUCCGGUCACCGCAUGUA
Molecule: long non-coding RNA, 368 nt
Organism: Musa acuminata AAA Group (dessert banana)
Lineage: Eukaryota; Viridiplantae; Streptophyta; Magnoliopsida; Zingiberales; Musaceae
Exons: 3
Source: RefSeq, a predicted model, not a curated record